RNAcentral lists this ribosomal RNA (497 nucleotides) under uncultured bacterium. RNAcentral describes it as "partial 16S ribosomal RNA". It matches the Rfam family "Bacterial small subunit ribosomal RNA", at positions 28 to 507 of the family's 1533-position model. The record is from RNAcentral.
GAUGAACGCUGGCGGCGUGCCUAAUACAUGCAAGUCGAGCGAACAGACGAGGAGCUUGCUCCUCUGACGUUAGCGGCGAACGGGUGAGUAACACGUGGAUAACCUACCUAUAAGACUGGGAUAACUUCGGGAAACCGGAGCUAAUACCGGAUAAUAUAUUGAACCGCAUGGUUCAAUAGUGAAAGACGGUUUUGCUGUCACUUAUAGAUGGAUCCGCGCCGCAUUAGCUAGUUGGUAAGGUAACGGCUUACCAAGGCAACGAUGCGUAGCCGACCUGAGAGGGUGAUCGGCCACACUGGAACUGAGACGCGGUCCAGACUCCUACGGGAGGCAGCAGUAGGGAAUCUUCCGCAAUGGGCGAAAGCCUGACGGAGCAACGCCGCGUGAGUGAUGAAGGUCUUCGGAUCGUAAAACUCUGUUAUUAGGGAAGAACAAAUGUGUAAGUAACUAUGCACGUCUUGACGGUACCUAAUCAGAAAGCCACGGCUAACUACGUG